Molecule: long non-coding RNA, 742 nt
Filed under: Rattus norvegicus (Norway rat)
Lineage: Eukaryota; Metazoa; Chordata; Mammalia; Rodentia; Muridae
Description: long non-coding RNA NONRATT004197
Rfam family: Small nucleolar RNA SNORD95 (bases 669-736)
Source: RNAcentral
GGGAUCUCACAACGGGCACUACCACGAGACGAUUUGUCGGCCACACCAAGGAUGUGCUGAGCGUGGCUUUCUCCUCUGACAACCGGCAGAUUGUCUCUGGGUCCCGAGACAAGACCAUUAAGUUAUGGAAUACUCUGGGUGUCUGCAAGUACACUGUCCAGGUAAAGGGGUAAGGGUGGUAGGGACGGCGUCCAGGGCUGUCUCCCACCCCCUGGGGGCUGUUUUUAGGGUGCGUUCAUCACUGUGUGGUCCUGGUGGCCUCAGGUGAUCUGAUUCCUAGGUGUGUACUACUACCACCUGGCACUUUCUCUUGUGUAUUGUUAGCCCUGUCUGGGAUUUUGUUUUUAAACUUUGUGUGCCUGCUACCUUGUGACUGGACUGGCAUGGGGCUCAGAGGAGUUGGAGGGAUUGUUUGUUUGUGGGUUUCUGUGUAGGUAGACCUGCAUGAGAUCAUGUGCUUCCAGACUGCUGGGGUUAAAAGGCCUUCUUUUCCCCCUUUAAUCCCAUAUUAGGUUGAGCUGUGGAAACCCAAACCACGGCAUCAGUUGGGCAGGGUCUUGGCACAUGAGCAGAUACCCAGAUGUCUCUCAUAACUGCCCUAAGGUUUAAAUGAUCUUAAGUCUCUCACCUAUCUCCUAGAGAUGUGUUUGAGGGGUUACAAGCCAGGCCCAACAGUGAUGACCACAACAUGCCAUCUGAGUUGCUUUGCUGAAAUCCAGAGGCUGUUUCUGAGCUGUGCCUG